CCACUAUAGUGCCAGGAAAACAUACUCGUUUUCCUGGCACUAUAGUGCCCUGAGGGUGCCCCCACCCUCAGGGACCCCCUCCCGCCCGGCUCUGGAAGGGGGAAAGGGGUAAUAACUUACCUUUUUCCAGCGCUGGGCGGAGAGCUCUCCUCCUCCUCUCCGCCUCCGUUACGCCCCGCCGGCUGAAUGCGCACGCGCAGCAAGAGCUGCGCGCGCAUUCAGCCGGUCACAUAGGAAAGCAUUUACAAUGCUUUCCUAUGGACGCUGGCGUGCUCUCACUGUGAAAAUCACAGUGAGAAGCACGCAAGCGCCUCUAGUGGCUGUCAAUGAGACAG
Non-coding RNA from Pelobates cultripes (western spadefoot toad), 335 nucleotides. The record is from the annotation of a GenBank genome assembly. Lineage: Eukaryota; Metazoa; Chordata; Amphibia; Anura; Pelobatidae.